GUGUCAGCCGCCGCGGUAAUACGAAGGGGGCUAGCGUUGCUCGGAAUCACUGGGCGUAAAGGGCGCGUAGGCGGAUCUUUAAGUCGGGGGUGAAAGCCCAGGGCUCAACCCUGGAAUGGCCUUCGAUACUGGAGAUCUUGAGACCGGAAGAGGUAAGUGGAACUGCGAGUGUAGAGGUGAAAUUCGUAGAUAUUCGCAAGAACACCAGUGGCGAAGGCGGCUUACUGGUCCGGUUCUGACGCUGAGGCGCGAAAGCGUGGGGAGCAAACAGGAUUAGAUACCCUGGUAGUCCACGCUGUAAACGAUGGAUGCCAGCUGUUGGCCGGCUUGCCGGUCAGUAGCGCAGCUAACGCUUUAAGCAUCCCGCCUGGGGAGUACGGUCGCAAGAUUAAA
This 393-nucleotide ribosomal RNA is filed under the name uncultured bacterium. RNAcentral's name for it is "bacterial SSU rRNA". It matches the Rfam family "Bacterial small subunit ribosomal RNA", at positions 505 to 898 of the family's 1533-position model. The record is from RNAcentral.